CCCCAGGCUCCCCGCAUGCCCGAGCCGCUCUCUCCUCUACCCCGCUGGAUCGAGGGAACGGAGGGUCCUGCCCCGCCUCGCCGGAGCUGCCUCCCCGCCGGCGAGCACCUUCACCAGGCCGCCUCUGUCGCCAGGAGCUCGCCGCAGGAGUCCUCGUCGCCGCCGGCCUCGUUUUGCUACGUCGUCGGCCGGAUCUGAGAUCCCCCUCGCCGGAUCCGGUUCUUCUCAGCGCCCACGACGAGAUCCGGCCAGUCUCCCUGCAAAUCCCUGCCUCGUCCGCCUCCGGCUCGUCGACGAGACGGCGAACGCCCGCGCGACGUGCGCGUUGACCGCGCUUCUCCUCGUCGUGGUCUCAUUGAGCGCAUGGGCCAGGAGCUUGCAAGCCCAGCUGCAACCUCCACCGAACCAAGCCGGCCUAUCUUCUCCUCUCCUUCGACCCGGCGCUCUCGCAGCCUGCAGCCAGCUCCAGCGACUGGGCCUUGGCCCAUGGUUCCGAUAAAGUCGCGUUUGUGAGGAUCCGUUCGACUACGUCUGUUU
Long non-coding RNA from Triticum dicoccoides, 537 nucleotides. RefSeq lists it as uncharacterized. The transcript has 3 exons. The record is from RefSeq and is a predicted model, not a curated record. NCBI's taxonomy places the organism in Eukaryota, Viridiplantae, Streptophyta, Magnoliopsida, Poales, Poaceae.